AGCGAACGCUGGCGGCAGGCUUAACACAUGCAAGUCGAGCGGGCCCUUCGGGGUCAGCGGCAGACGGGUGAGUAACACGUGGGAACGUACCCUUUGGUUCGGAAUAACGCUGGGAAACUAGCGCUAAUACCGGAUACGCCCUUUUGGGGAAAGGCUUGCUGCCGAAGGAUCGGCCCGCGUCUGAUUAGCUAGUUGGUGGGGUAAUGGCCUACCAAGGCGACGAUCAGUAGCUGGUCUGAGAGGAUGAUCAGCCACACUGGGACUGAGACAUGGCCCAGACUCCUACGGGAGGCAGCAGUGGGGAAUAUUGGACAAUGGGCGCAAGCCUGAUCCAGCCAUGCCGCGUGAGUGAUGAAGGCCUUAGGGUUGUAAAGCUCUUUUGUCCGGGACGAUAAUGACGGUACCGGAAGAAUAAGCCCCGGCUAACUUCGUG
This 433-nucleotide ribosomal RNA is filed under the name uncultured bacterium. RNAcentral's name for it is "partial 16S ribosomal RNA". It matches the Rfam family "Bacterial small subunit ribosomal RNA", at positions 29 to 507 of the family's 1533-position model. The record is from RNAcentral.